GAUGAACGCUGGCGGCGUGUCUAAUACAUGCAAGUCGAGCGAACGGACGAGAAGCUUGCUUCUCUGAUGUUAGCGGCGGACGGGUGAGUAACACGUGGAUAACCUACCUAUAAGAUUGGGAUAACUUCGGGAAACCGGAGCUAAUACCGGAUAAUAUUUUGAACCGCAUGGUUCAAAAGUGAAAGACGGUCUUGCUGUCACUUAUAGAUGGAUCCGCGCUGCAUUAGCUAGUUGGUAAGGUAACGGCUUACCAAGGCAACGAUGCAUAGCCGACCUGAGAGGGUGAUCGGCCACACUGGAACUGAGACACGGUCCAGACUCCUACGGGAGGCAGCAGUAGGGAAUCUUCCGCAAUGGGCGAAAGCCUGACGGAGCAACGCCGCGUGAGUGAUGAAGGUCUUCGGAUCGUAAAACUCUGUUAUUAGGGAAGAACAUAUGUGUAAGUAACUGUGCACAUCUUGACGGUACCUAAUCAGAAAGCCACGGCUAACUACGUG
Molecule: ribosomal RNA, 497 nt
Filed under: uncultured bacterium
Lineage: Bacteria
Description: partial 16S ribosomal RNA
Rfam family: Bacterial small subunit ribosomal RNA
Source: RNAcentral